GACGAACGCUGGCGGCGUGCCUAACACAUGCAAGUCGAACGGAGUUAAGUGCUUCGGUAUUUAACUUAGUGGCGAACGGGUGAGUAACGCGUGAGAAACCUGCCUUUCAGUGGGGGACAACAGUUGGAAACGACUGCUAAUACCGCAUGAUACUUUUUGGGGGCAUCCCUAAAAAGUCAAAGCUUUAUGUGCUGAAAGAUGGGCUCGCGUCUGAUUAGCUGGAUGGCGGGGUAACGGCCCACCAUGGCGACGAUCAGUAGCCGGACUGAGAGGUUGAGCGGCCACAUUGGGACUGAGAUACGGCCCAG
RNAcentral lists this ribosomal RNA (308 nucleotides) under uncultured bacterium. RNAcentral describes it as "bacterial SSU rRNA". It matches the Rfam family "Bacterial small subunit ribosomal RNA", at positions 28 to 334 of the family's 1533-position model. The record is from RNAcentral.